UACAGAGACUGCAAGCGUUAUUCGGAUUCACUGGGCGUAAAGGGUGCGCAGGCGGCCAAGUGUGUGAGGCGUGAAAGCCCGGGGCUUAACCCCGGAAUUGCACCUCGAACUACAUGGCUAGAGCAUUGGAGAGGGUAGCAGAAUUCACGGUGUAGCAGUGAAAUGCGUAGAUAUCGAGAGGAACACCGGUGGCGAAGGCGGCCAACUGGACGAAUACUGACGCUGAGACUCGAAAGCGUGGGGAGCAAACAGG
RNAcentral lists this ribosomal RNA (253 nucleotides) under uncultured bacterium. RNAcentral describes it as "partial 16S ribosomal RNA". It matches the Rfam family "Bacterial small subunit ribosomal RNA", at positions 524 to 776 of the family's 1533-position model. The record is from RNAcentral.